RNAcentral lists this long non-coding RNA (1390 nucleotides) under Catharus ustulatus (Swainson's thrush). Its description in RNAcentral is "lncRNA (ENSCUSG00005003621.1)". Lineage: Eukaryota; Metazoa; Chordata; Aves; Passeriformes; Turdidae. The record is from RNAcentral.
GGCAGUGGCAGUGUCCAGUGCCCCCUUGGGGACCCCUGGGAGAGCCACAUCCGAGGGGGGCUUGUCCAAAACCACCUUAUCCCGGCGGGUGGGCUCCCUACCUUGUGCUGGGGUCUCCAGAGGGAUCCCGAGGCUGGAAUUCCUGUGGCUGGAAUUGCUGUGUUGUCUCCUGGAGCACCUGGCGAUGUCCUCAGUGCGAGCGUGGUGUUGGGGGAGGGGGGAGUGCAGAGGGGUCCCUGAGGGAUGGGGGUGGGGAUAGGUUUGGGGGUGCUUUGGGGGUGGGUGGGUCCUGUGGGGUGCACAGAUGGGGGUUUGAAGGGAAGCACAGUGGGGCCAGGGUUGGGUGUCUGGGGGUGCUGUGGGAAGAAGCUCAUUUGCACAAUUAUAAGCCAGAAGGAUAAAGCCUCUGUGCGCGUGGGGGGAGGACAGCUCCCCACGGGCUCCAGUCCAGACAAGCACAGGGAGGAGGAGGAGAAGGAGGGUUCACUGUAUCUCACACUGCACUAGGACAAGCCAGGGGGGAAAACCAAAGGUGGGAGCCAGGGAGCAGGCGGGCUGCGUGGGAAGGAUCUAAGCGACCCCUUUGUAGCUCUUCAGUGUUGGUUCUAUUUAUACGAGAUUUCAUUUCCUUGCUUGUGAUGCCUUGUUUUUUGUACAGUUUUAUGUACAUGCAGGUGUAGCUUUUCUAAAGGAGAAAUCCUAUGGCAGAGUAAAGUACCCCCACUAUUUUUCAGAUGGUGCCCUAUGUCUAAGGCGACGCCUCUUGCUAAGGUUGUACUGCUCAAUGUGUGAUGCAUUUCCCUGUGCGGGGAAGCCUUCGGGCCUUGGGCUUGGUUUUCCCCGGGCGCUGUGAGCACAAUUGAUUCCCUUGUAACUCUUUCUGUUCGGAGCCGUGAGCAUGACACCGUCGUGAUCCCCCCUUUCCGUUCUCCCCAUGUUCCGUUCGUUUGCUGAGCUAUCAAGAUGACCAACUCCAUUGUAAUUAGCCCUUCCUAAAGCUUUACAAUAAAAGUGUGAAAACCCGGCUGUCUGGGCCUGGCUGCUUCCUGAGCGUCCUUUGGGGUUUCCCUGCCUUCCUGCCCUGCUCUUGGCUCCCUGUUGUCCAGCUUGAGGAUGUUCCUGCACAAGGACAAGGAGGAUAAGCCCCCAAAGCACUUUCCCACAGACCAGACUCCUUCAAGGCUGGGUUGGAUGGGGUUUGGAUCAUCCUGCUCCUGUGGAAGGUCUUCCUGCCAGCCCAAGCCAUUCCAUGAUUCUGGGAUUGAUUUUAUCAUUGAAACCCAAAUAUUUCAAUGAAAAAAUACCUCCAGCCCUGAGGCCACCCACGCCUGUCGCCAGCCAAGGUGGGAAUCAGAGAAAAUCCCAUCAAAGCUCUUCAGACCCCCUUCCA